This 214-nucleotide long non-coding RNA is filed under the name Mytilus galloprovincialis (Mediterranean mussel). Lineage: Eukaryota; Metazoa; Mollusca; Bivalvia; Mytilida; Mytilidae. The record is from RNAcentral.
GUCCACUAGACCUUGACAUUAUUGUUAUAAAAAAAGAGAUGUGGUAUGAUUGCCAAUGAGACAACUGUCCUCAAAAGACCAAAAUGACACAGACAUUAACAACUAUAGGUCACCGUACGGCCUUCAACAAUGAGCAAAGCCCAUACCGCAUAGUCAGCUGUAAAAGGCCCCGAUAAGACAAUGUAAAACGAUUCAAACGAGAAAACUAACAGCC